Molecule: ribosomal RNA, 496 nt
Filed under: uncultured bacterium
Lineage: Bacteria
Description: bacterial SSU rRNA
Rfam family: Bacterial small subunit ribosomal RNA
Source: RNAcentral
AACGAACGCUGGCGGCAGGCCAAAUACAUGCAAGUCGAACGAACCCUUCGGGGUGAGUGGCGCACGGGUGAGUAACGCGUGGGAACGUGCCCCUGGGUGCGGAACAACAGCUGGAAACGGCUGCUAAUACCGCAUAAUGACUUCGGUCCAAAGAUUUAUCGCCCAGGGAUCGGCCCGCGUCUGAUUAGCUAGUUGGUGAGGUAAAGGCUCACCAAGGCGACGAUCAGUAGCUGGUCUGAGAGGAUGAUCAGCCACACUGGGACUGAGACACGGCCCAGACUCCUACGGGAGGCAGCAGUAAGGGAUAUUGGACAAUGGAGGAAACUCUGAUCCAGCCAUGCCGCGUGAGUGAAGAAGGCCCUCGGGUUGUAAAACUCUUUCAGUAGUGAAGAUGAUGACGGUAACUACAGAAGAAGCUCCGGCUAACUUCGUGCCAGCAGCCGCGGUAAUACGAAGGGGGCGAGCGUUGUCGGAAUCACUGGGCUUAAAGCGUACG